UAGUACAAUUUUCAAACAUUUGAGUCAUUUUUUGAGCUACUUACGUAUAGAAUUUUUAAUUUUGUGAUUUCAUUACAUAAUUUUUAUUCGAUGUUACUCUGUGGAUAAAAUUGUUAAACCAAACAGAAAUGCUUAAAUAUAUCAUAAAAAGUUCAUUAUUAGUUGUGUUUAUUAUUCAGCAAGAAAAAGUUGAGAUUUAUGUAGUAUUUUUUUUUU
Molecule: non-coding RNA, 216 nt
Organism: Cinara cedri
Lineage: Eukaryota; Metazoa; Arthropoda; Insecta; Hemiptera; Aphididae
Source: the annotation of a GenBank genome assembly